CUCACUCCUCUUCGAAUUAGCGACUCUGGGGCCCAGCUUCCACUAGCUCCUGCCGAGAGCAGCCGGGACGCAUCCCUGGCAUAACAGCUAAUGGAGCGAUUCCACAGUGCAGUGGAGGAGGAGAAAGUCUUCCUGGGUUCCAGCUGGAGACAGUAGGGAAGAGGUUGUUGCAGUGCUUUUGACUCAGCAGACUGUAUCAAGUUGAUGAACAAAGACUCGAGGGAACACAGCCUAAGCUUCUGGAGUGCCGAGUUACUUCCAACUGUUUCUGUAGGACUGACCAGUUUAGAUCAAACUGAAUUUACUAUAUGCAGAUUAAUAAGCAGCCUUGCUCUGUAUUAGAAUUUAAGCUAUUACUGUUUCUUUAUGUUUAUAAAGUUGUAUUUAAGAAUUAA
Long non-coding RNA from Caretta caretta (loggerhead turtle), 395 nucleotides. RefSeq lists it as uncharacterized. The record is from RefSeq and is a predicted model, not a curated record. NCBI's taxonomy places the organism in Eukaryota, Metazoa, Chordata, Testudines, Cheloniidae.